Molecule: ribosomal RNA, 484 nt
Filed under: uncultured bacterium
Lineage: Bacteria
Description: partial 16S ribosomal RNA
Rfam family: Bacterial small subunit ribosomal RNA
Source: RNAcentral
AUUGAACGCUGGCGGCAUGCUUUACACAUGCAAGUCGAACGGCAGCGCGGGCUUCGGCCUGGCGGCGAGUGGCGAACGGGUGAGUAAUGCAUCGGAACGUGCCCAGUCGUGGGGGAUAGCCCGGCGAAAGCCGGAUUAAUACCGCAUCCGACCUGAGGGUGCCAGCGGGGGACCGAAAGGCCUCGCGCCAUUGGAGCGGCCGAUGUCCGAUUAGCUAGUUGGGGGGGUAAAUGCUUACCAAGGCGACGAUCCGUAGCUGGUCUGAGAGGACGACCAGCCACACUGGGACUGAGACACGGCCCAGACUCCUACGGGAGGCAGCAGUGGGGAAUUUUGGACAAGGGGGGCAACCCGGAUCCAGCCAUGCCGCGGGCGGGAAGAAGGCCUUCGGGUUGGAAACCGCUUUUGUUCGGGAAGAAAUACUCUGGGCUAAUACCCCGGGGGGAUGACGGUACCGGAAGAAUAAGCACCGGCUAACUACGUG